RNAcentral lists this ribosomal RNA (423 nucleotides) under uncultured bacterium. Its description in RNAcentral is "partial 16S ribosomal RNA". It matches the Rfam family "Bacterial small subunit ribosomal RNA", at positions 360 to 775 of the family's 1533-position model. The record is from RNAcentral.
AAUUUUGGACAAUGGGGGCAACCCUGAUCCAGCCAUCCCGCGUGUGCGAUGAAGGCCUUCGGGUUGUAAAGCACUAUUGGCAGGGAAGAAAAGGCUCUGGUUACUACCUGGAGCUGCUGACGGUACCUGCAGACUAAGCACCGGCUAACUACGUGCCAGCCGCCGCGGUAAUACGUAGGGUGCAAGCGUUAAUCGGAAUUACUGGGCGUAAAGGGUGCGCAGGCGGUUUGGCAAGAAGGAUGUGAAAUCCCGGGGCUUAACCUCGGAACUGCAUUCUUAACUGCCAGGCUAGAGUAUGUCAGAGGGGGGUAGAAUUCCGCGUGUAGCAGUGAAAUGCGUAGAGAUGCGGAGGAAUACCGAUGGCGAAGGCAGCCCCCUGGGAUAAUACUGACGCUCAGGCACGAAAGCGUGGGGAGCAAACAG